GACGAACGCUGGCGGCGUGCUUAACACAUGCAAGUCGAGCGGUAAGGCCUUUCGGGGUACACGAGCGGCGAACGGGUGAGUAACACGUGGGUGAUCUGCCCUGCACUUCGGGAUAAGCCUGGGAAACUGGGUCUAAUACCGGAUAUGACCUCCUAUCGCAUGGUGGGUGGUGGAAAGAUUUAUCGGUGCAGGAUGGGCCCGCGGCCUAUCAGCUUGUUGGUGGGGUAAUCGCCUACCAAGGCGACGACGGGUAGCCGACCUGAGAGGGUGACCGGCCACACUGGGACUGGGACACGGCCCAGACUCCUACGGGAGGCAGCAGUGGGGAAUAUUGCACAAUGGGCGAAAGCCUGAUGCAGCGACGCCGCGUGAGGGAUGACGGCCUUCGGGUUGUAAACCUCUUUCAGCAGGGACGAAGCGCAAGUGACGGUACCUGCAGAAGAAGCACCGGCUAACUACGUG
RNAcentral lists this ribosomal RNA (462 nucleotides) under uncultured bacterium. RNAcentral describes it as "partial 16S ribosomal RNA". It matches the Rfam family "Bacterial small subunit ribosomal RNA", at positions 28 to 507 of the family's 1533-position model. The record is from RNAcentral.